AGGGGUAUAGCUCAGUUGGUAGAGCGGCGGUCUCCAAAACCGCAGGUCGCAGGUUCGAGUCCUGCUGCCCCUG
RNAcentral lists this transfer RNA (73 nucleotides) under Hoeflea marina. It matches the Rfam family "tRNA". Rfam says of the family: Transfer RNA (tRNA) molecules are approximately 80 nucleotides in length. Their secondary structure includes four short double-helical elements and three loops (D, anti-codon, and T loops). Lineage: Bacteria; Pseudomonadati; Pseudomonadota; Alphaproteobacteria; Hyphomicrobiales; Rhizobiaceae. The record is from Rfam by way of RNAcentral.